GUCUAUAGCCAUACCACCCUGAUCGUGCCUGAUCUCCUCUGAUCUCAGAAGCUAAGCAGGCUUGGGCCUGAUUAGUACUUGGAUGGGAGAGUAAUGACAAGGAGAAAUGUCUGGAUGCACACA
Molecule: ribosomal RNA, 123 nt
Filed under: Propithecus coquereli (Coquerel's sifaka)
Lineage: Eukaryota; Metazoa; Chordata; Mammalia; Primates; Indriidae
Source: RNAcentral